RNAcentral lists this ribosomal RNA (253 nucleotides) under uncultured bacterium. RNAcentral describes it as "partial 16S ribosomal RNA". It matches the Rfam family "Bacterial small subunit ribosomal RNA", at positions 524 to 776 of the family's 1533-position model. The record is from RNAcentral.
UACGUAGGGUGCGAGCGUUGUCCGGAAUUAUUGGGCGUAAAGGGCGCGUAGGUGGCCGAGCAAGGUCGCGGUGAAAGCCCGGGGCUCAACCCCGGGUCGGCCGUGGCAACUACUUGGCUUGAGCACUGUAGGGGCGGGUGGAAUUCCGGGUGUAGCGGUGAAAUGCGUAGAUAUUGGGAGGAACACCAGUGGCGAAGGCGGCUCACUGGACCGGAACUGACGCUGAGGCGCGAAAGCGUGGGGAGCAAACAGG